GGAAGGAUCCCUAACACGUUGUACAGAAAUGUCAACGAAAACCAAACAAAAUGUUGGCUUGUGACUGGUGAUUGCUAACGCUAACAGUUGCAGGCACCCCUUAUUUUUACUCUGUGUAUUGUUUGUACGAGUUAUUUUUAAUAAACGAAAACUUAAAAACAACUCUUAGCAACGGAUAUCUAGGCUCUCGUAACGAUGAAGAACGCAGCGAAAUGCGAUACGUAAUGCGAAUUGCAGAAUUCAGUGAAUCAUCAAAUCUUUGAACGCAGCUUGCGCUCUUGGGUUACGCCUGGGAGCAUGCCUCUCUGAGUAUCAUCUAUAUCAAAACUCGGCUGCGUGCCGGACACUGAUCUCUUACAUCCUCUGAUGUACACCGAUCUAAGUUGACAGCGAGCGUUGGUUCGAAUUUACUUUCGAGAACCAAAAAAACUGAUUUAAACAGUGCUCAUGUGCUGGUAGUUGUAUGAGGGCAACCUCUUACAAAUGCCGACACAUUUUGAUGUAUCUUGUUUGUUCGGUCGAUUGGUCCAUUGAUUGCGAGUUCAGCCGUCUUAACGAUUUUCGCUAACACACAGGAAGAAACGUCAUUGUUUCUAACUCAACAUUCUGAUCUCAGAUGAAGCAGGAAUACCCGCCGAAUUUAAGCAUAUUAUUAAGCGGAGGAAAAGAAACUAACAAGGAUUCCCCUAGUAACGGCGAGUGAAGCGGGAAUAGCUCAACCUGAAAAUCGUCGUGCCUAGCGGCAUGUUCGAAUUGUGGGCUAGAAGUAACUUAUCAGCGCUUGGCCUGGAUACAAGUCUUUUGGAACAAAGCAUCACAGAGGGUGAGAAUCCCGUCUCUGAUCCAGGGACCGACGCGUACGAGGGUUGCUCUUUGAGUCGAAUAGCUUGGGAAUGCUGUUCUAACGGGAGGUAAAUUUCUUCUAAAGCUAAAUACCGACGAGAGACCGAUAGCAAACAAGUACCGCGAGGGAAAGAUGAAAAGAACUUUGAAAAGAGAGUUAAAAAGUACUUGAAAUUGCUAAGAGGUAAGCACUGGAAACCAGUAGCGCCCGGUACAUAUUCCCGUCUAGCGGUUAGUUUGCCUCUUGAUCCGGAUCUCACGACCUGCGUUCGAGAGCAACUGUCUGACUGUCUAGGCGGCCACAGUGUGCUUGGGUAUGUCAGCAUCAGUUCAGGUUGGAGCAGAAACUCACUGCGUAAGGUCGGUCGUGUCUUCGGAUGUGACCACUAACAUGACCGGUGAAGCGCUACUCCGAUGACUGGACUGAGGAGCUCAUUGAAUGCACGCCUGCUGGCUGCAUGCCGACUAUCCUGUGUUGACGCCUGGUACUACAGAACAAAGUUCUGUGGUGCUUCCGUCGGUACACUGAUUAUUGGCAUGACAUGUGCGUUCGAGAUGUUGACAAAAUGGUUUUCAAUGAAUCGUCUUGAAACACGGACCAAGGAGUCUAACAUAUAUGCGAGUAUUUGGGUGCACAAAACCCUGAUGCGCAAUGAAAGUGAAGGUGAGGUCUUGUACCACACUGAGGUAGGAACCGGUCCUGGAAACAGUGACCGGGGCACUAUCGACCGAUCGCUCACUUGUGAGAGAUUCGAGUAAGAGCAUAUCUGUUGGGACCCGAAAGAUGGUGAACUAUGCCUGAGCAGAUCGAGGCCAGGGGAAACCCUGGUGGAGGAUCGUAGCGAUACUGACGUGCAAAUCGUUCGUCUGACUUGGGUAUAGGGGCGAAAGACUAAUCGAACCAUUUAGUAGCUGGUUCCCUC
RNAcentral lists this unclassified non-coding RNA (1766 nucleotides) under uncultured fungus. Its description in RNAcentral is "sequence contains 18S rRNA gene, ITS1, 5.8S rRNA gene, ITS2, 28S rRNA gene". The stretch from base 608 to 1766 matches the Rfam family "Eukaryotic large subunit ribosomal RNA", at positions 1 to 961 of the family's 3401-position model. The record is from RNAcentral. Lineage: Eukaryota; Fungi.